RNAcentral lists this transfer RNA (73 nucleotides) under Solirubrobacterales bacterium. RNAcentral's name for it is "tRNA-Thr". It matches the Rfam family "tRNA". Rfam says of the family: Transfer RNA (tRNA) molecules are approximately 80 nucleotides in length. Their secondary structure includes four short double-helical elements and three loops (D, anti-codon, and T loops). The record is from RNAcentral. RNAcentral also lists the same sequence under 7 other names. Lineage: Bacteria; Bacillati; Actinomycetota; Thermoleophilia; Solirubrobacterales.
GCCCUCUUAGCUCAGUUGGUAGAGCACUUCCAUGGUAAGGAAGGGGUCUCCGGUUCGAGUCCGGAAGAGGGCU